RNAcentral lists this long non-coding RNA (1605 nucleotides) under Marmota monax (woodchuck). Lineage: Eukaryota; Metazoa; Chordata; Mammalia; Rodentia; Sciuridae. The record is from RNAcentral.
UUUCUGUUGGACCCAGAACUGAGAGUUAAAACCUUUGAAAGGUUAAUAAAAUAGGUACUUGCACUCCAUUUUUCUGUAUGCUUAACAAAACACUGUUGAAAUCCUGAGAACUGUUUGCUAAUCUUGUUCCCAGAAUGUGCUGUCCCCAACUGCCAAACUGCAGAAUGCACUCCCUCACUCAGUUGCAGGCAAACUGCCCACUCGCCCUGACCCAUCAAUGAACUUCCCUCCCUGCCCUCUCCAAGAAAAGUAUAUAAGCUCUGCUUAAGCUGUUCCCAGGGCUCUAUCUCUCUUUGCUCUAGUGAGCUCUGAGCCCCAGCAUGCUGGUCCCCAAAUAAACCCUUUUGCUGUUGCAUGAGACAGUGUCUUGGUGGUCUCUUCCUCCGACGUUUCGCCGGUCCCCUAUAUUUGGUGCAUUGGCCAGGAAGUGCGCAUCGCUGGACAGGGAGACCCCAACAGACUCCUUAGGAGGUAAGUAAGGCGCCUCUUCUUCUUCUUCUUCUUCUCCUUGUUUUUCCUUUGCGAUCGCUCAGAACUUGGUUUUUGCCAGUGGAGACCGUGAGCUCUCAGAGCCUUUCUGGUUUUUCAGUUUGGGUUGGCAGAGUGUGGUUGCCAGCGGAGAGCGUGAGCUCCCCCUGGCAGUGGUGGACAGACGUGUCCUGAAGCCACAGGCCACGUUCUUCAAGGGACGCCUUGAAGGACUCUAGGAGGGACGGAAGUGCCCUCAUCUGGUGUAUUCUGCUGCCAACCCGUCUGGUCUUGCCGGCAAUUCUUUCUCUCGGGUUGAAUUCACUAUCUGUUUUUAAUCUUUGCCUCUGAACUUGUGUUACACGUUUACUGUGUGUGUCUGUGUUUGCGUCACGUUUGUAUUGUCCCUGUCUUUGUUCAAGUAACUUUCAUUAUGGGACAGAGUCAUUCCACGCCUCUGUCCCUGACCCUUGAUCACUGGACUGAAGUCCGCUUAAGGGCUCAGAAUCUUUCUUUUUCAGUAAAACGCCGGACCUGGCAGACUCUCUGUGCCUCAGAAUGGCCCGCCUUUGGAGUCGGAUGGCCUCCAGAAGGAUCUUUCUACUCCCCACUAAUUCGAAAAGUCAGAGAUAUUGUUUUUCAGCCGGGGCCACAUAGCCAUCCAGAUCAACAGCCGUAUAUCUUAACUUGGCAGGACCUCUGUGAAUCUCCUCCUCCAUGGGUGAAGCCUUUUCUUGUCCCUGUCCCCACUCCUACUCCUCCCCCCGCGAUUCUAUCUCUCAAACCCUCUGCUCCUCCUCCACCCUCUGUUCUCCCUGAGUCUCAAGAUUUGACUCUACUGGACUCUCCUCCCCCUCCUUAUCCCCUGCCCUCGUCCCCCAACCCCCAACACCCUCUAAGUGAUUCCCCUGCUGCUGACUCAGCCUCUCCACCAUUGGAGGAGGUUAAGCCGGCCCAGCACCCUCCAGAUAACUUCCCCGAGGCACACAUAACCCCUCCUCCCCUGGAGGAAGCUGGCCCGGCUAAAGGAACUCUCCGGCAGUGAAUGAUUAAAAACCCUGAAGCCCCCGUGAUACUUCCCCUCCGCCCUUAUGGGCCAAUGAUAGAGGAUGGCCAUGGUGGAGAAAUGCAAGCCUA